AGAAGAAAGGACGACUCAUGACACACCGACUUAUUUUCCAGUGGCUCAGCACAACAUGACGCAGUAUCAUCUCCAUCUCUGCUGAAGGACACGUGUCAGUUCCAUGAAGCUGUUUGAUUCUUACAGACAGCUGAGUCAGCGCCAAGACGACUGCGUGCAGAAGAAAAGCUCAGGCAGCAGCUUGUUUCUCUGCAGUUUGAACAUCUCCUGCCGACCUGUCACACUUCCUAAAACAUCAGCCUGAGCAGAGCGGCGCCUAUGAGUCACCUGUGAGGAAUUGGAACCUUGGAGCUAAAGAAAGUUUGACAGAAGCAAUUUCA
This is a long non-coding RNA of Oryzias latipes (Japanese medaka), 320 nucleotides long. RefSeq lists it as uncharacterized. Lineage: Eukaryota; Metazoa; Chordata; Actinopteri; Beloniformes; Adrianichthyidae. The record is from RefSeq and is a predicted model, not a curated record.